Molecule: ribosomal RNA, 250 nt
Filed under: uncultured bacterium
Lineage: Bacteria
Description: partial 16S ribosomal RNA
Rfam family: Bacterial small subunit ribosomal RNA
Source: RNAcentral
UACAGAGGUUGCAAGCGUUGUUCGGAUUUAUUGGGCGUAAAGGGUCCGUAGGCGGUUCGGAAAGUCAGAUGUGAAAUCCUACAGCUUAACUGUAGAACUGCAUUUGAAACUUCCGAACUAGAGUAUGAGAGGGGUUAAGGGAAUUCCCGGUGUAAGGGUGAAAUCUGCAGAGAUCGGGAGGAACACCAGUCGCGAAGGCGCUUAACUGGCUCAUUACUGACGCUCAGGGACGAAAGCUAGGGGAGCAAAC